GACGAACGCUGGCGGCGUGCUUAACACAUGCAAGUCGAACGGAAAGGCCCUGCUUUUGUGGGGUGCUCGAGUGGCGAACGGGUGAGUAACACGUGAGUAACCUGCCCUUGACUUUGGGAUAACUUCAGGAAACUGGGGCUAAUACCGGAUAGGAGCUCCUGCUGCAUGGUGGGGGUUGGAAAGUUUCGGCGGUUGGGGAUGGACUCGCGGCUUAUCAGCUUGUUGGUGGGGUAGUGGCUUACCAAGGCUUUGACGGGUAGCCGGCCUGAGAGGGUGACCGGCCACAUUGGGACUGAGAUACGGCCCAGACUCCUACGGGAGGCAGCAGUGGGGAAUAUUGCACAAUGGGCGGAAGCCUGAUGCAGCAACGCCGCGUGCGGGAUGAAGGCCUUCGGGUUGUAAACCGCUUUCGCCUGUGACGAAGCGCGAGUGACGGUAAUGGGUAAAGAAGCACCGGCUAACUACGUG
Molecule: ribosomal RNA, 468 nt
Filed under: uncultured bacterium
Lineage: Bacteria
Description: partial 16S ribosomal RNA
Rfam family: Bacterial small subunit ribosomal RNA
Source: RNAcentral